UACGUAGGGGGCAAGCGUUGUCCGGAAUCAUUGGGCGUAAAGCGCGCGUAGGCGGCCCGGUAAGUCCGCUCUGAAAGUCCAGGGCUCAACCCUGGAAAGCGGGUGGAUACUGCCGGGCUAGAAUCCGGAAGAGGCGAGUGGAAUUCCUGGUGUAGCGGUGGAAUGCGCAGAUAUCAGGAAGAACACCCGUGGCGAAAGCGGCUCUCUGGAACGGUACUGACGCUGAGACGCGAAAGCGUGGGGAGCGAACAGG
Molecule: ribosomal RNA, 253 nt
Filed under: uncultured bacterium
Lineage: Bacteria
Description: partial 16S ribosomal RNA
Rfam family: Bacterial small subunit ribosomal RNA
Source: RNAcentral